CCAGAAGCCCAGAUUAUAUGGUUUGGAGUACAGCAAAGUUAGGGCUUACCUCUCAAGCUCCUUGAAUCCAUAAACCAUUUAGUUAACAGAGACUCAAUCAUGGCCUCUUCCUCAGCCCACCUUUCUCUCUCAGCCACCCAUGGGAUGAGGGAUGGCUAAGCUGAGGGAGAAACCCUUGGCAGGUCAGGAGACAAGCUGAUCACAAAAGUUCAGCCCCCAUCUUGGACAGUCCUCUCCCGGUUGCUCAGCUGUGAACAAGGAAGCUC
RNAcentral lists this long non-coding RNA (266 nucleotides) under Bos taurus (domestic cattle). RNAcentral's name for it is "long non-coding RNA NONBTAT024548". Lineage: Eukaryota; Metazoa; Chordata; Mammalia; Artiodactyla; Bovidae. The record is from RNAcentral.